Molecule: ribosomal RNA, 274 nt
Filed under: uncultured bacterium
Lineage: Bacteria
Description: partial 16S ribosomal RNA
Rfam family: Bacterial small subunit ribosomal RNA
Source: RNAcentral
AUACGGAGGGUGCAAGCGUUAUCCGGAAUCAUUGGGUUUAAAGGGUCCGUAGGCGGACUAUUAAGUCAGAGGUGAAAUCCCACAGCUCAACUGUGGAACUGCCUUUGAUACUGGUAGUCUUGAGUUAUAUGGAAGUAGAUAGAAUGUGUAGUGUAGCGGUGAAACGCAUAGAUAUCACACAGAAUACCGAUUGCGAAGGCAGUCUACUACGUAUAUACUGACGCUAAGGGACGAAAGCGUGGGGAGCGAACAGGAUUAGAAACCCUAGUAGUCC